GACGAACGCUGGCGGCGUGCUUAACACAUGCAAGUCGAACGGAAAGGCCCUGCUUUUGUGGGGUGCUCGAGUGGCGAACGGGUGAGUAACACGUGAGUAACCUGCCCUUGACUUUGGGAUAACUUCAGGAAACUGGGGCUAAUAUCGGAUAGGAGCUCCUGUUGCAUGGUGGGGGUUGGAAAGUUUCGGCGGUUGGGGAUGGACUCGCGGCUUAUCAGCUUGUUGGUGGGGUAGUGGCUUACCAAGGCUUUGACGGGUAGCCGGCCUGAGAGGGUGACCGGCCACAUUGGGACUGAGAUACGGCCCAGACUCCUACGGGAGGCAGCAGUGGGGAAUAUUGCACAAUGGGCGGAAGCCUGAUGCAGCAGCGCCGCGUGCGGGAUGACGGCCUUCGGGUUGUAAACCGCUUUCGCCUGUGACGAAGCGUGAGUGACGGUAAUGGGUAAAGAAGCACCGGCUAACUACGUG
Molecule: ribosomal RNA, 468 nt
Filed under: uncultured bacterium
Lineage: Bacteria
Description: partial 16S ribosomal RNA
Rfam family: Bacterial small subunit ribosomal RNA
Source: RNAcentral